Molecule: ribosomal RNA, 921 nt
Filed under: Mortierella sp. YECT1
Lineage: Eukaryota; Fungi; Mortierellomycota; Mortierellomycetes; Mortierellales; Mortierellaceae
Description: eukaryotic LSU rRNA
Rfam family: Eukaryotic large subunit ribosomal RNA
Source: RNAcentral
UUCCCCUAGUAACGGCGAGUGAAGCGGGAUGAGCUCAAAUUUAAAAUCUGGCUGGUUUACUAGUCCGAAUUGUAGUUUAAAGAAGCGUUUUCGGUGGCAGCCUGGGUAUAAAUCCUUUGGAACAGGGUAUCAUAGAGGGUGAGAAUCCCGUCUUUGACUCAGUGCAUGCUACUAUGUGAUACGUUUUCAAAGAGUCGAGUUGUUUGGGAAUGCAGCUCAAAAUGGGUGGUAAAUUUCAUCUAAAGCUAAAUAUUGGCGAGAGACCGAUAGCGAACAAGUACCGUGAGGGAAAGAUGAAAAGAACUUUGAAAAGAGAGUUAAACAGUGCGUGAAAUUGUUGAAAGGGAAACGCUUGACACCAGUCAUGCGAGCGGAAAAUCAGUCUUUUGCAGUGGGGAGUUGUGUGGGUUCGGACCGCAAGGCCGGCCUGCGCUGCAUCUCUGCUGUAAGUGAUGCACUUUUUCGUUUGCAGGCCAACAUCAGUUUCUUCUGCUGGACAAAACUCUUGAGAAGGUGGCAGCUUAGGCUGUGUUAUAGCUCUUGAGCGAUACAGUGGAGGGGACUGAGGUUUUCGCAGCGCGUGCUUUCGGGCAAGGCUGAUUGGGUGCUAUGGGAUCGUUCGGUGUACAAUGCAUGCAUUUUGCGCCGUGUCUUUUCUAUACUCGCUCAACUCGGCUCUUCCGCGCUUAGGAUGUUGGCUUAAUGGUUUUAAUCGACCCGUCUUGAAACACGGACCAAGGAGUCUAACAUAUAUGCAAGUGUUUGGGUGGCAAACCCAUGCGCGUAAUGAAAGUGAACGUAGGUGCGAUCCGCAAGGUGCAGCAUCGACCGAUCUUGAUAUUUUUGGAUAGAUUUGAGUAAGAGCAUAUAUGCUGGGACCCGAAAGAUGGUGAACUAUGCCUGAAUAGGGUGAAGCCAGAG